UGGGGAAUAUUGCACAAUGGGCGAAAGCCUGAUGCAGCGACGCCGCGUGAGGGAUGACGGCCUUCGGGUUGUAAACCUCUUUCAGUAGGGACGAAGCGCAAGUGACGGUACCUGCAGAAGAAGCACCGGCUAACUACGUGCCAGCAGCCGCGGUAAUACGUAGGGUGCGAGCGUUGUCCGGAAUUACUGGGCGUAAAGAGCUCGUAGGCGGUUUGUCACGUCGUCUGUGAAAUCCUAGGGCUUAACCCUGGACGUGCAGGCGAUACGGGCUGACUUGAGUACUACAGGGGAGACUGGAAUUUCUGGUGUAGCGGAGGAAUGCACAGAUAUCAGGAAGAACACCGAUGGCGAAGGCAGGUCUCUGGGUAGUAACUGACGCUGAGGAGCGAAAGCAUGGGUAGCGAACAGG
This 409-nucleotide ribosomal RNA is filed under the name bacterium. RNAcentral describes it as "partial 16S ribosomal RNA". It matches the Rfam family "Bacterial small subunit ribosomal RNA", at positions 355 to 776 of the family's 1533-position model. The record is from RNAcentral.